CCUACGGGUGGCAGCAGUGAGGAAUAUUGGUCAAUGGCCGGAAGGCUGAACCAGCCAAGCCGCGUGAGGGAGGAAGGCGCAGAGCGUCGCAGACCUCUUUUGCCGGGGGACAAAAGGCCGGACUCGUCCGGUCCUGAGGGUACCCGGAGAAAAAGCAUCGGCUAACUCCGUGCCAGCAGCCGCGGUAAUACGGAGGAUGCGGGCGUUAUCCGGAUUCAUUUGGGUUAAAGGGUGGGAAGGCGGGCCUUUAAGCCGGCGGUGAAAUCGGGUGGCCAAACCCCGCCGGGCCGUCGGAACUGGGGGCCUUGAGUGCGGCGGAGGCAUGCGGAAUGCGAGGUGUAGGGGUGAAAUGCAUAGAUAUCGCGCAGAACC
Molecule: ribosomal RNA, 372 nt
Filed under: uncultured bacterium
Lineage: Bacteria
Description: partial 16S ribosomal RNA
Rfam family: Bacterial small subunit ribosomal RNA
Source: RNAcentral